Molecule: small nuclear RNA, 107 nt
Filed under: Echinops telfairi (small Madagascar hedgehog)
Lineage: Eukaryota; Metazoa; Chordata; Mammalia; Afrosoricida; Tenrecidae
Source: RNAcentral
GUGCUCACUUCAGCAGCACAUAUACUAAAAUUGGAACGAUACACAGAUGAUUAGCAUGGCCCCUGUGCAAGGAUGACAUGCAAAUUCGUGAAGCAUUCCAUAUUAAA